Molecule: long non-coding RNA, 2327 nt
Filed under: Anser brachyrhynchus (Pink-footed goose)
Lineage: Eukaryota; Metazoa; Chordata; Aves; Anseriformes; Anatidae
Description: lncRNA (ENSABRG00000017247.1)
Source: RNAcentral
UGGAGCUGUAGGCUAGCCUCUGGGCUAGGAGAAGAGCUCUUCUUUUAGGGCUGCCUCCAGUUCUUCUGCGCUGCAGGUACUUCCUUUCCUUUCUUCUUCCCUGACUAAAAGAGAAACCAUCCAUGUCUUCAGGCCUUGCUGUCUUUUUAACCCUUCUUAAAGCAUCCUUUUGAAAUGUUCUUUUGGAGGUGUUACGUGGAAGCCUCGGUGCCCUGUUCCCUGCCUUACAGGGCUGUAAGAGGAGCGCUGGGCUGCGCACUGUAACGGGAAGCUGUAAGAGUCCUCCCUGCAACAGGCAGGGGUCUAGGAGCAAACUUUUCUCAGGCCAUGCUUCUGAUGUUAGUGUUGGCCAAUGCUGCCUGAAGGCGGUGACCAGUCUUGCGCUGUGGUUGUUUAGGUGGCUGUCUUGAGUGCUCCUGAAGGGGAUGUGAUAUUUUGGCAUCCCAGUCUGGGGUUAGUAAAUCUGCAGGAAGUACCUUCUGUGCUCUGUACGUGAGGGCUUGUGUUUUCGCACUGCUUUUCAUGUGAACAUGCAUUAUUUUGAAAGGAGUUUAUUCUUUGUACUUGAUUUCUGGUAUGAGAAUAGCAGUUGUUAGUUUUAGAAAUAAAUCAAUCUGAGCCAAGAUUCAUGUGAGAGAAAUAUGUCUGUAAGUUGAGAAAGGAGGCAGAUUGAAAUGACAUUUAUUAACGGGGAACACACUCUGUGCAUAUUUGGACAUCUCCCCUUUUACUGGCUUUAAUGCAGGGAGUGAACGCUUCUGCUUUGUGUCCAGGCUGCAGGUUGGGGGAGAAAGCAAAACUGCACACGUUCUGAAAGGAGGAGCUAUAACACAGGUUUCCACUCCAGAAAAAAAGGAAAUGUUUCCCUCCAAAGCACCAUGCUUACAAAUUCUGGGUGAGCCUAAACCUGCGUGGUUUCAUCCUGGAUGCUUCUCAAACAGAAUGCCUCAUUCCAGAGCGUGCAUCUUAUAGCACUAUAAGUAAAACAGCGUAAAUGUCACGCUCGUUCUGUCCGAGGAGCAUAGUUUUGUUCCCGUGCAAUGGGAGCAGGUGGUGGGAGGUUGUUUUGAUGAGGUUAAAAAGCUCCUCCCCUCCUUCCCCAAGCAGCAGCCUAAUCUGCGUCAGCAGUAAUUGUGUGCCUUGCACUGCUUUCAGUGAGGAACAUAUUCAAAUGAGGCACCUUAGCAAUCUCUGUGUUAGUGCAUAUGAUGGUGCUGUAAUCUUUUAUGUUGUAAAGUGGGUAAAAACCAUCCAGUUUCUUCUCUGCUGGACCUCAAAGCAGGGUGUUGUUUAUACCCUCCCAUUAUCUGUACCCUCUCUUCUCUGAAUGUGGAUUUAAAGAAGCAAGCACCUGUCUUCUCUUGCCACUGCUUUUUUUUAAAAGCCAAACUUUCCAUGCCGUUUUAAUCAUACGUUAAGAAGAUCCGUAAUGUAACGCUGGCUUACAGUGAUGCCGAAUUCUACAAUCUGGGCAAUUUUGCCAACAAGAUUUAAUGCACUUUAACUGAAGAAAAAACUGAGCCUAACUGCAAAUCUGUUUCUUAUGGUGCUGAAAUAUCCCUUCCGACUGCACUGAGAUAACCACAGGAAAGGGCUUUUACAGGCAAAAGUCACCUUUGAUUAUUGCACUUAGCAGUCCCCGUGGACUUGAAUUUUGGUACGUACAUAUUUUUGAAAAUUCUUUGAGCAUGCUGAUAAAAUAUGGUGCUAAUUAGAAUGAAGAAAUAAUCAUACUUACAGAAUGAAAUAAUGAGUAGUUGGAAUGCAUAAUGGUGAACUUGCAUGUCUUUUAGGGAGGUAUUAAUCAAACCAUUGCUAAAGUAAAAGCUGAAGUCUAUUUGACUGUUUUUGUGUACUUCACGUGUUGAUUGUGCUUGUAAUAGAGACAUUUUGCAGCUGGAUUUUUUGUUGGUAAAAGGCACUGUUAAAUAAUUAAAAACAUUCUUUGCUAUUUUCUGAUGAAUUAAUUGAAAUAAUUCUUAACGUCUAUGUUAGUUACUUAUUAGACAUGCUACACCAUUAAUAUUUUACAGCAUCUUAACAUGAUGCUGGUGGUAGUGAAAUCUCCAUUUCAUUUUAAGGAGAGAAAAAAACCCACAUCCGUCAGCAAGCAAGCUCAUUCUUCUGAGUUCUAAUACACUCCUGUUUGCAUACAGAAUAUGUGUGUGUAUGUCCCUGUGUGGCUUUAUUUCUUCUUUUUGUUCAUAAAUCAUCCACAUAAUAAUGGGAUGAUAAAACGUCAUAAUUAUACUUAAGUACUAGCUGUUCUGAAUCUAGUUUUGUAAUUGUCCAACAUCCGUGUGGUUAGGAGGAAGCAUUAUUUUCCU